AGGAAUAUUGGUCAAUGGGCGGAAGCCUGAACCAGCCAUGCCGCGUGCAGGAAGACGGCCCUAUGGGUUGUAAACUGCUUUUAUACCGGAAUAAACCCUUUUACGUGUAAGAGGCUGAAUGUACGGUAGGAAUAAGGAUCGGCUAACUCCGUGCCAGCAGCCGCGGUAAUACGGAGGAUCCAAGCGUUAUCCGGAUUUAUUGGGUUUAAAGGGUGCGUAGGCGGCCUUGUAAGUCAGGGGUGAAAGACGGCAGCUUAACUGUCGCAGUGCCUUUGAUACUGCAGGGCUUGAAUGUACUUGAAGUGGGCGGAAUGUGACAAGUAGCGGUGAAAUGCAUAGAUAUGUCACAGAACACCGAUUGCGGAGGCAGCUCACUAAAGUAAGAUUGACGCUGAGGCACGAAAGCGUGGGGAUCAAACA
Molecule: ribosomal RNA, 420 nt
Filed under: uncultured bacterium
Lineage: Bacteria
Description: bacterial SSU rRNA
Rfam family: Bacterial small subunit ribosomal RNA
Source: RNAcentral